UACGGAGGGUGCAAGCGUUGUCCGGAAUCACUGGGCGUAAAGCGCACGCAGGCGGUCUGUUAAGUUUGGAGUGACAGUUGGUGGCUUAACUGCCAAAGUGCUUCGAAAACUGACAGACUUGAGGGCUUCAGAGGGACACGGAAUUCCGGGUGGAGUGGUGAAAUGCGUAGAUAUUGGGAAGAACACCGGUGGCGAAGGCGGCUCACUGGCCCGAAACUGACGCUCAUGCACGACAGCGUGGGGAUCAAACAGG
This 253-nucleotide ribosomal RNA is filed under the name uncultured bacterium. RNAcentral describes it as "partial 16S ribosomal RNA". It matches the Rfam family "Bacterial small subunit ribosomal RNA", at positions 524 to 776 of the family's 1533-position model. The record is from RNAcentral.